Molecule: ribosomal RNA, 253 nt
Filed under: uncultured prokaryote
Description: partial 16S ribosomal RNA
Rfam family: Bacterial small subunit ribosomal RNA
Source: RNAcentral
ACGUAGGGGGCAAGCGUUGUCCGGAUUUAUUGGGCGUAAAGAGCGUGUAGGCGGCUGGGUAGGUCCGUUGUGAAAACUCGAGGCUCAACCUCGAGACGCCGAUGGAAACCCCCCAGCUAGAGUCCGGAAGAGGAGAGUGGAAUUCCUGGUGUAGCGGUGAAAUGCGUAGAUAUCAGGAGGAACACCGGUGGCGAAGGCGGCUCUCUGGACGGUGACUGACGCUGAGACGCGAAAGCGUGGGGGGCAAACAGGA